GCGCCGCCGCGGAGCUGGGGGCCUCCCUGCGGAUCGGCUGCACAGCCGACGCCAGCUGCUCCCUGCUCUCCCUCUGGGGCCGGUUGGAGAAUUUAUAUAAAGAACACGUUUGUUCAGAAAUCACACUGCUUGCUUCUUCUGACUGUCCUGAAGAGUGAAGACAUGAUUCUUCAGCCUGAGCUGAACCGGGAUUUCCUCAUCCAAAGCCACUAAGAGACACAAAAGGAAGACGAGGGUAGAAAAAGAUUCAAGACUCCAACAAGCAAAAUCAGAAAUCUGAGGUGCAGCCAGGUUAAGAAACUUGCCCAAAGCCACGCAGAAAAUGACAAGAUUGAGAAAUCAGCCCCGGCAACCAUACUUCACAAAUCUCAACAGGAAAGCCCCCUGCCAACAGCAUGAAGACAACUGAUUUUGACCCAGUAAUUUUUGAAAACUAAGAAAACUGAGUAGCAACCACGUGGUGUGUAUUUUGCUGCAUGUGAAGAAUGAACAAGUGAACAACAAAGGAUCUUCUCCAACACCUCCAACCCAGAAUCCUUGCUUCCGUGAAGACCUGGAUUUCCUAGGUGUCACCCGUAAUGAAUCAGUUUCCCUCCUAAGCCACACCGGGGACAAAUAACCAGAGGAGAGAACAGAGGCUGAGG
Molecule: non-coding RNA, 644 nt
Organism: Vicugna pacos (alpaca)
Lineage: Eukaryota; Metazoa; Chordata; Mammalia; Artiodactyla; Camelidae
Source: RefSeq, a predicted model, not a curated record